This 468-nucleotide ribosomal RNA is filed under the name uncultured bacterium. RNAcentral's name for it is "partial 16S ribosomal RNA". It matches the Rfam family "Bacterial small subunit ribosomal RNA", at positions 28 to 507 of the family's 1533-position model. The record is from RNAcentral.
GACGAACGCUGGCGGCGUGCUUAACACAUGCAAGUCGAACGGAAAGGCCCUGCUUUUGUGGGGUGCUCGAGUUGCGAACGGGUGAGUAACACGUGUGUAACCUGCCCUCGACUUUGGGAUAACUUCAGGAAACUGGCGCUAAUACCGGAUAGGAGCUCCUGCUGCAUGGUGGGGGUUGGAAAGUUUCGGCGGUUGGGGAUGGAAUCGCGGCUUAUCAGAUUGUUGGUUGGGUAGUGUAUUAGCAAGGCAUUGCCGGGUAGCCUAGCUGGUGGGAUGACCUGACAAAUCAGGAUGGGACUGAGGCCCAGACUCCUCCGGGAGGGAGGAGAGGAGUGUAUAGCACUAUGGGCGGAAGCCUGAUGCAGUAAAGCCGCGUGGGGGAUGACGGCAAUCGGGUUGUAUUCCGAAUCCGCCUGUGACGAAACGUGAGUGACGGUAAUGGGUGAAGAAGCACCGGCUAACUCCGUG